UGCAGCAACGGCCUAAAAUCCAAUACACAGUUUUAUUCAAAACACCGUAAUUCCCACUGGAGCAGAAACUUGCAAUGAUUGACACCAGCACGGUUUAUCGACCCGAUAUGGUUGACUGGUUUUCCUAAUAUACAGUAAUGGAACAAGGAAAUACACUACACAUUAGUAUUACCACAUAUGAAUGCUCUUGACAUAUCUUGUUCCACAGUGUUAUCACUGAUGAACCCAAACACAGGGUAAUACAUCUCCUUCGCCAUUACGGUGUCAAUAUCACAUCGGGAAGUCUCCUACAUGUAAAUUCUUACCCUCACCGUACAAGCAGCAGCAGUGGUUGUAGGUUCCCUACAGCUAGAGCGGGGGAUCGUGGAGAAGUG
This is a long non-coding RNA of Magallana angulata, 374 nucleotides long. RefSeq lists it as uncharacterized. The transcript is spliced from 3 exons. NCBI's taxonomy places the organism in Eukaryota, Metazoa, Mollusca, Bivalvia, Ostreida, Ostreidae. The record is from RefSeq and is a predicted model, not a curated record.